CCUACGGGCGGCAGCAGUAGGGAAUCUUCCACAAUGGGCGAAAGCCUGAUGGAGCAACGCCGCGUGGGUGAAGAAGGUCUUCGGAUCGUAAAACCCUGUUGUUAGAGAAGAAAGUGCGUGAGAGUAACUGUUCACGUUUCGACGGUAUCUAACCAGAAAGCCACGGCUAACUACGUGCCAGCAGCCGCGGUAAUACGUAGGUGGCAAGCUUUAUCCGGAUUUAUUGGGCGUAAAGGGACCGCAGGCGGUCUGUUAAGUCUGAUGGGAAAGGCGUGGGCUUAACCGGAGUAGUGCUUGGGAAACUGGGAGACUUGAGUGCAGAAGAGGAGAGUGGAACGCCAUGUGUAGCGGUGAAAGGCGUAGAUAUAUGGAAGAACACCAGUGGCGAAAGCGGCUCUCUGGUCUGUAACUGACGCUGAGGUUCGAAAGCGUGGGUAGCAAACAGGAUUAGAGACCCAAGUAGUC
Molecule: ribosomal RNA, 465 nt
Filed under: uncultured bacterium
Lineage: Bacteria
Description: partial 16S ribosomal RNA
Rfam family: Bacterial small subunit ribosomal RNA
Source: RNAcentral